GCCGGUGUGGCUGUGUGCUGUCUGUCACCCCAGCGCCCUGGACCUCAGUCUGCAGAGAAGCAGCUGUGACAAGCACAGAAAGGCAGGCACUGGUGCCUCCUGUCGAAGCCCCCAAUGCACCAGCAGCCCUCGUGUUAAUUUAAGAAGUUGACUGAACAAUCUGGCACAGUCGCUGGAAACUGAAGAAGGUCGCUUGGAAAGGGUCCUGACCCACCCACCAUGUCAAGCAAUUAUUUUUCUGGACAGCUUCCUGAUGUCCCCAAGGAGAGAGAGAGCGUGACAGCCAGUGAGGGAAAGCAUGCCACAGGUCCCGCCUGCUAACCUGGCAGGAGGGUGCUUGCAACACCUAAUUUAUCAACGCUUGUUUUCCCUGCUGGAGCCAAGUACACAAAAUCACUCCGCCAACAGAGAAAGAGAAAGGGGAAGCCAUUCUUCACCUUUUUCAGUAAUGUAUUUUUGUUUUGGUCAAUUUCCCAGAUAAAUUAUGGUCUUGUCUCAUUGCUGCAUUGGUGGAAUUCUUGCUAGUGUUAUUUAGUACAUUUUAAAGCUGUGUGAAACCAAAAGGUACUUAAAAAAAAAAAAAAAAGGAAAGUUAACCAAAUUGAAGGGUAAAUUUUUUACAUUGUUCCACUGGCUCCAGUUGGAGCUUAAUCAUCACGACCCUUCCUUCAGUCCACAGCGCCUGCUUCAAGAUGCAGCAGAAGUCAAAAUUGCAAGAGUCUGGAUGUUUUGCUUUCGUGUAACUCAUUAGGCAUUUCCCCCUGUGCUAUGAUAAAUGUCUCUCUCAACCAGAAAUUUUAUCUCACCUGUGUAUGUCCCUAUUUCACUCUGCGGAAUCACUCUCAGGAAAUACAAGCUAAUGAUGUCUGUGGUUCUGAAAUUUCCUUGUUAUUAUUUGUUUAAGACAUUUUUUAAAAAAACCUGUGGACAGCUUAUUAAAAGGAUGCUGAGCAAUG
This 956-nucleotide long non-coding RNA is filed under the name Homo sapiens (human). Its description in RNAcentral is "HSALNT0309667". Lineage: Eukaryota; Metazoa; Chordata; Mammalia; Primates; Hominidae. The record is from RNAcentral.